CGGGUGAGUAAUGUCUGGGGAUCUGCCUGAUGGCGGGGGAUAACUACUGGAAACGGUAGCUAAUACCGCAUAAUGUCUACGGACCAAAGCGGGGGACCUCCGGGCCUCGCGCCAUCAGAUGAACCCAUAUGGGAUUAGCUAGUAGGUGAGGUAACGGCUUACCUAGGCGACGAUCCCUAGCUGGUCUGAGAGGAUGAUCAGCCACACUGGAACUGAGACACGGUCCAG
This 228-nucleotide ribosomal RNA is filed under the name uncultured bacterium. RNAcentral describes it as "partial 16S ribosomal RNA". It matches the Rfam family "Bacterial small subunit ribosomal RNA", at positions 103 to 334 of the family's 1533-position model. The record is from RNAcentral.